RNAcentral lists this ribosomal RNA (405 nucleotides) under uncultured bacterium. Its description in RNAcentral is "partial 16S ribosomal RNA". It matches the Rfam family "Bacterial small subunit ribosomal RNA", at positions 30 to 526 of the family's 1533-position model. The record is from RNAcentral.
AUUGAACGCUAGCGGGAUGCUUUACACAUGCAAGUCGAACGAGUGGCGGACGGGUGAGUAAUAUAUCGGAACGUGCCCAGUAGCGGGGGAUAACUACUCGAAAGAGUGGCUAAUACCGCAUACAAUCGGAGCGGCCGAUAUCGGAUUAGCUAGUUGGGGGGGUAAAGGCUCACCAAGGCAACGAUCCGUAGCUGGUUUGAGAGGACGACCAGCCACACUGGGACUGAGACACGGCCCAGACUCCUACGGGAGGCAGCAGUGGGGAAUUUGGGACAAUGGGGGAAACCCUGAUGCAGCCAUCCCGCGUGUAUGAGAAGGCCUUCGGGUUGUAAAGUACUUUUGGCGGAGAAGAGGUAUCUGAACAGAAAGCAACGGCUAACUACGUGCCAGCAGCCGCGGUAAUUC